UAGAGUUUGAUCAUGGCUCAGGACGAACGCUGGCGGCGUGCCUAAUACAUGCAAGUCGAACGAACUCUGGUAUUGAUUGGUGCUUGCAUCAUGAUUUACAUUUGAGUGAGUGGCGAACUGGUGAGUAACACGUGGGAAACCUGCCCAGAAGCGGGGGAUAACACCUGGAAACAGAUGCUAAUACCGCAUAACAACUUGGACCGCAUGGUCCGAGUUUGAAAGAUGGCUUCGGCUAUCACUUUUGGAUGGUCCCGCGGCGUAUUAGCUAGAUGGUGGGGUAACGGCUCACCAUGGCAAUGAUACGUAGCCGACCUGAGAGGGUAAUCGGCCACAUUGGGACUGAGACACGGCCCAAACUCCUACGGGAGGCAGCAGUAGGGAAUCUUCCACAAUGGACGAAAGUCUGAUGGAGCAACGCCGCGUGAGUGAAGAAGGGUUUCGGCUCGUAAAACUCUGUUGUUAAAGAAGAACAUAUCUGAGAGUAACUGUUCAGGUAUUGACGGUAUUUAACCAGAAAGCCACGGCUAACUACGUGCCAGCAGCCGCGGUAAUACGUAGGUGGCAAGCGUUGUCCGGAUUUAUUGGGCGUAAAGCGAGCGCAGGCGGUUUUUUAAGUCUGAUGUGAAAGCCUUCGGCUCAACCGAAGAAGUGCAUCGGAAACUGGGAAACUUGAGUGCAGAAGAGGACAGUGGAACUCCAUGUGUAGCGGUGAAAUGCGUAGAUAUAUGGAAGAACACCAGUGGCGAAGGCGGCUGUCUGGUCUGUAACUGACGCUGAGGCUCGAAAGUAUGGGUAGCAAACAGGAUUAGAUACCCUGGUAGUCCAUACCGUAAACGAUGAAUGCUAAGUGUUGGAGGGUUUCCGCCCUUCAGUGCUGCAGCUAACGCAUUAAGCAUUCCGCCUGGGGAGUACGGCCGCAAGGCUGAAACUCAAAGGAAUUGACGGGGGCCCGCACAAGCGGUGGAGCAUGUGGUUUAAUUCGAAGCUACGCGAAGAACCUUACCAGGUCUUGACAUACUAUGCAAAUCUAAGAGAUUAGACGUUCCCUUCGGGGACAUGGAUACAGGUGGUGCAUGGUUGUCGUCAGCUCGUGUCGUGAGAUGUUGGGUUAAGUCCCGCAACGAGCGCAACCCUUAUUAUCAGUUGCCAGCAUUAAGUUGGGCACUCUGGUGAGACUGCCGGUGACAAACCGGAGGAAGGUGGGGAUGACGUCAAAUCAUCAUGCCCCUUAUGACCUGGGCUACACACGUGCUACAAUGGAUGGUACAACGAGUUGCGAACUCGCGAGAGUAAGCUAAUCUCUUAAAGCCAUUCUCAGUUCGGAUUGUAGGCUGCAACUCGCCUACAUGAAGUCGGAAUCGCUAGUAAUCGCGGAUCAGCAUGCCGCGGUGAAUACGUUCCCGGGCCUUGUACACACCGCCCGUCACACCAUGAGAGUUUGUAACACCCAAAGUCGGUGGGGUAACCUUUUAGGAACCAGCCGCCUAAGGUGGGACAGAUGAUUAGGGUGAAGUCGUAACAAGGUAGCCGUAGGAGAACCUGCGGUUGGAUCACCUCCUUA
RNAcentral lists this ribosomal RNA (1561 nucleotides) under Lactiplantibacillus pentosus. RNAcentral's name for it is "Lactobacillus pentosus partial 16S rRNA". It matches the Rfam family "Bacterial small subunit ribosomal RNA". Lineage: Bacteria; Bacillati; Bacillota; Bacilli; Lactobacillales; Lactobacillaceae. RNAcentral also lists the same sequence under 1 other name. The record is from RNAcentral.